UACGGAGGGUGCAAGCGUUAUUCGGAUUUACUGGGCGUAAAGCGCACGUAGGCGGCAUUGCAAGUCGUAGGUGAAAGCCCUCGGCUCAACCGAGGAAUUGCCUUCGAAACUGCGCUGCUUGAGUCCGGGAGGGGGGAGCUGAAUUCCCAGUGUAGCGGUGAAAUGCGUAGAUACUGGGAGGAACACCGGUGGCGAAGGCGGCUCCCUGGACCGGUACUGACGCUGAGGUGCGAAAGCGUGGGUAGCAAACAGG
RNAcentral lists this ribosomal RNA (253 nucleotides) under uncultured bacterium. RNAcentral describes it as "partial 16S ribosomal RNA". It matches the Rfam family "Bacterial small subunit ribosomal RNA", at positions 524 to 776 of the family's 1533-position model. The record is from RNAcentral.